This 1238-nucleotide ribosomal RNA is filed under the name Exiguobacterium acetylicum. RNAcentral's name for it is "bacterial SSU rRNA". It matches the Rfam family "Bacterial small subunit ribosomal RNA", at positions 38 to 1206 of the family's 1533-position model. The record is from RNAcentral. Lineage: Bacteria; Bacillati; Bacillota; Bacilli; Caryophanales.
GGCCCGGGGGGGCUAAUACAUGCAAGUCGAGCGCAGGAAACUGACGGAACUCUUCGGAGGGAAGGCAGUGGAAUGAGCGGCGGACGGGUGAGUAACACGUAAGGAACCUGCCUCAAGGAUUGGGAUAACUCCGAGAAAUCGGAGCUAAUACCGGAUAGUUCAACGGACCGCAUGGUCCGCUGAUGAAAGGCGCUCCGGCGUCACCUUGAGAUGGCCUUGCGGUGCAUUAGCUAGUUGGUGGGGUAACGGCCCACCAAGGCGACGAUGCAUAGCCGACCUGAGAGGGUGAUCGGCCACACUGGGACUGAGACACGGCCCAGACUCCUACGGGAGGCAGCAGUAGGGAAUCUUCCACAAUGGACGAAAGUCUGAUGGAGCAACGCCGCGUGAGUGAUGAAGGUUUUCGGAUCGUAAAACUCUGUUGUAAGGGAAGAACACGUACGAGAGGGAAUGCUCGUACCUUGACGGUACCUUACGAGAAAGCCACGGCUAACUACGUGCCAGCAGCCGCGGUAAUACGUAGGUGGCAAGCGUUGUCCGGAAUUAUUGGGCGUAAAGCGCGCGCAGGCGGCCUUUUAAGUCUGAUGUGAAAGCCCCCGGCUCAACCGGGGAGGGCCAUUGGAAACUGGAAGGCUUGAGUACAGAAGAGAAGAGUGGAAUUCCACGUGUAGCGGUGAAAUGCGUAGAGAUGUGGAGGAACACCAGUGGCGAAGGCGACUCUUUGGUCUGUAACUGACGCUGAGGCGCGAAAGCGUGGGGAGCAAACAGGAUUAGAUACCCUGGUAGUCCACGCCGUACACGAUGAGUGCUAGGUGUUGGGGGGUUUCCGCCCCUCAGUGCUGAAGCUAACGCAUUAAGCACUCCGCCUGGGGAGUACCGCCGCAAGGCUGAAAACUCAAAGGGAAUUGACGGGGGACCCGCACAAGCGGUGGAAGCAUGUGGUUUUAAUUCGAAGCAACGCGAAAGAACCUUACCAACUCUUGACAUCCCAUUGACCGCUUGGAAAAAUCAAGUUUUCCCUUCGGGGACAAUUGGUGAACAGGGGGUGCAUGGUUGUCCGUCCCCUCCCGGUCCGGGGAAAUGUUGGGUUUAAGUCCCCGCAAACGGGGGGCCAAACCCCCUAUUCCUUAGUUGCCAGGCAUUUGGGUUGGGCCCCCCCUAGGGGGAACUGCCGGUGGAACAAAACCGGAGGGAAAGGGGGGGGAAUUAAGGGCAAAAUUCCCCAGGGCCCCCUAAAG